This is an RNA transcript of Ictalurus furcatus (blue catfish), 2648 nucleotides long. It is a transcript of the gene named eukaryotic initiation factor 4A-II, with no coding region annotated. The record is from RefSeq and is a predicted model, not a curated record. NCBI's taxonomy places the organism in Eukaryota, Metazoa, Chordata, Actinopteri, Siluriformes, Ictaluridae. The transcript is spliced from 12 exons.
GAUUGAUAUGUACUGCGCACGCAGCGCACUUCUUCUUGAAGCUAGCGCCGAAGCUUCGGUCUGAACAUGUCCAGCGGUUCUGCGGAUUAUAACAGCUCUAGAGACAGAGACCAUGGGGGCCCUGAAGGAAUGGAUCCUGAUGGUGUCAUCGAGAGCAACUGGAACGAGAUUACGGACAACUUCGACGAUAUGAACUUAAAGGAGACGCUCCUUCGCGGUAUCUACGCUUACGGUUUUGAGAAACCGUCAGCCAUUCAGCAGAGGGCAAUUAUUCCGUGCAUUAAAGGUUAUGACGUUAUCGCUCAGGCUCAGUCGGGAACUGGCAAGACCGCCACGUUCGCCAUCUCCAUCCUGCAGCAGUUAGAUGUGGAGCAGAAGGAGACCCAGGCUAUGGUGCUGGCUCCUACCAGAGAGCUGGCCCAACAGAUCCAGAAAGUAAUCCUGGCACUCGGUGACUAUAUGGGUGCCACAUGCCAUGCCUGCAUCGGGGGCACGAAUGUGCGAAACGAGAUGCAGAAACUCCAAGCCGAGGCUUACCACAUAGUGGUCGGGACACCGGGCCGCGUGUUUGACAUGUUAAACAGGAGGUUUCUGUCUCCUAAAUGGAUCAAGAUGUUUGUCUUGGAUGAAGCUGACGAGAUGCUGAGUCGAGGAUUUAAGGAUCAGAUCUAUGAAAUUUUUCAGAAGCUGAGCACCAACAUCCAAGUCGUGCUUCUCUCGGCCACGAUGCCCGCUGAGGUUUUGGAAGUGACCAAAAAGUUUAUGCGGGAGCCUGUUCGCAUCCUGGUGAAAAAAGAGGAGCUUACUCUGGAGGGUAUCAAGCAGUUCUACAUCAACGUGGAGCGAGAGGAGUGGAAGUUAGACACGCUGUGCGACCUUUACGAGACUCUGACAAUCACCCAGGCUGUGAUCUUCCUGAACACCAGGAGGAAGGUGGACUGGCUGACUGAGAAGAUGCACGGUCGGGACUUCACCGUCUCCGCUUUGCACGGAGACAUGGACCAGAAGGAGCGCGAUGUGAUUAUGAGGGAGUUCCGGUCCGGAUCCAGCAGGGUGCUGAUCACGACGGAUUUGCUGGCUCGUGGCAUCGACGUGCAGCAAGUGUCUCUAGUCAUUAACUACGAUUUGCCCACCAACCGAGAAAACUACAUCCACAGAAUCGGACGCGGCGGCCGUUUCGGCAGGAAGGGCGUCGCUAUUAACUUCGUCACCGAGGAAGACAAGAGGAUUCUUCGGGACAUUGAGACUUUUUACAACACUACAGUCGAGGAGAUGCCCAUGAACGUGGCUGAUCUGAUUUAAAUAGCUGAGCUGGUUGCUUGUAACGGAGGCACGUUGUCAUUAUUAUUUUUAAAUCAGAAACCAUAUUCGGAAUUGUGCGGUCUCAAUGCUGAAAGUGGCGUGCUCAAGUGGAGUCUACUCCUUUACGAGUCGACCGCAUGGGUAUGAUCCCGACAUCCCCGGUGCUUUAAAACGACUCCUUCAUUCAUAGUUUAGGACAAGUCAGGAAGAGUAUGAGGUGUCUGGCAGGCAUGAGGAGAGGGCUAACUGUUAUAAAUUAAUAGGAGAGGUGAUUCAGAGAGAUGAUUCAGAGAUUCAUCCACAUCCACGCUCGCUUCCUGACGUGAACACAGCCGUGAGCCGACACAGGGACCCACGGAUACGAGCAAAGCAAAGCAGAGCAGGUACGCAAACCUGCGGGUUACUGGUAGAGCGUUAGGGAAGGUGCUCUCCUAAGUGUGAUCCUAAUAAAAUAGUGUGAAAGCUCAUAGCAGGGUUUGUAGUCAUUCCCACUUCAUAAAAUCGAGCAUACACUAACCAGGCUGAGUGAAGAGGUUUAAAAAAAAAAACGUGUGGCGGUGUAUGCAGGCAUUUUUAUCGUUAAUAUCCAAUACCGGUGUAAUUAAGUGCAAUAGAUAGAACACUAUCUCACUGGCCAAACAAAAUGACAUUUUAACCCCUAAAGCAAGGAUUAGCCGUGUUAGCUGAAAAAGUCCCCGUGAAAUUGAAGAUUUUGUGAAAAAUGUAAGUUUUGUGGCUUUUAGUACGAAUAUGUUCGCCUUCGGUCUUAUCUAGAAGCCAGUGUGCGCCAAAACGACGACAAAAUCCAUUCGCGUUUAGAAGAUAGAUCUAUGCAUUCAAAAUUUCAACAACUUUGAUGACAUCAUUCUGCACUUCAGCUUCUCAUCAGAUUUUCGGUCCAAUCAAACGCUCUCUAGAAUCUGAAGUGUCCCGUCCCCGACAUUAUAAAAAUCCAUGGUACUAACGGCGAAGUACGGCUUAACCCCGGGGCUGCGAGGUAAGUUAAAUGCUAUUGGCUAUUUUUGUUUAAAAAGGGGGAGGAGCCACUCUAUGUCCCAAUCUGACUUCCUUUCAGUGGGAAUUAUGUCAACAUGUCGAAUAACACUGCGCGUUUCAAGGCACUUAACAGGGACUUUCAAGACAUCCUAAAAUCAAACCUGUCCUUCCUCAUUAAUACAGAUCAAAUAAAUCUCAUGCCAUCACAAAAUUUAUUCGUCUGUAACCUUUCAGUAAAAUGCAGCGACUGUUUCACAGAUAUGACCGUCACUGUGCAUCAUUAGUGGGAGCGGACCAAAUAAAUUGGCCUUAGCCUCGACUAGACUCAGUAACUGACUCAGUUCAAAUAC